AGCUUGUAUUUGAUUUAAACUUUUGUUCUAAUAUCUUGUAACUUGAUUCAAUCAAGGGAUUGAAUCAAGGGGUUAAGGUUUGUUGGUGAGCCAAAGGGAAAACCAACGUUGUAAGGUUGUGGUUGGUGAGCCUUUGGAAAAACCAACUGGGUUGAUUGUGAAUCCGAAAAACAAUCGUUGUAAGGUUGUGGUUGGUGAGCCUUUGAGAAAACCAACUGGGUUUGAUUGUGAACCCAGAAAAACAAUCGGUUGGUUCUAGUCGGUGAGCCUGUGAAAACCGACCGAGUUCGUUGUGAUCUCGCAAAACAACAAGUUGGGUUGUGAGCUUGUAAAACAACCGGCUGUAAUCUGAGGGAUUAUAGUAAAAUUUCCAAGAGAUCUUGGGGAGUGGAUGUAGGUGCUAGGGUGCACCGAACCACUAUACAUCUUUGUGUUUGUAAUGCCUUAUCUCGUGUAUUUCAUGCCUUACAUUCGUACUUGAUUAUGUAAUAUCUCUAGCUUUGUUUUCUAUAGAGUUAUAAGUGAUUGUUUAGAAUUUGCUUAGCUUCCUCUCUAUUCUUAUCAUACACAUAGAUUAAAAUUGAUCAUACAACUAUAAGUUAAUUUUAGAUCAAUUGCACCCUAAAGCCAUAGUAUAAUUGCUCUAGCUUAAUUUUCCACUA
RNAcentral lists this long non-coding RNA (662 nucleotides) under Phoenix dactylifera (date palm). RNAcentral describes it as "long non-coding RNA (PDAC_LNC018861)". The record is from RNAcentral. Lineage: Eukaryota; Viridiplantae; Streptophyta; Magnoliopsida; Arecales; Arecaceae.